UGCUGUUGUCGAACUGUAAUAUACAGUAGCAACUAGCUGGAACAGAGCUGUAUCGCCCGGACGGAUCCAUUAAGCCUGGCUACAGACCCCCAGGAACAGUGUUUUCCUGAUUUUGAGAACCUGGAGACAAGACUCCUCUGAACAAUGGGAUGCAUAAGGUCCAAAAGUGAGGAAGGU
Molecule: long non-coding RNA, 177 nt
Organism: Lepisosteus oculatus (spotted gar)
Lineage: Eukaryota; Metazoa; Chordata; Actinopteri; Semionotiformes; Lepisosteidae
Source: RefSeq, a predicted model, not a curated record